Molecule: ribosomal RNA, 460 nt
Filed under: uncultured bacterium
Lineage: Bacteria
Description: partial 16S ribosomal RNA
Rfam family: Bacterial small subunit ribosomal RNA
Source: RNAcentral
CCUACGGGAGGCAGCAGUGAGGAAUAUUGGUCAAUGGGCGGAAGCCUGAACCAGCCAAGUCGCGUGAGGGAUUAAGGCCCUUCGGGGCGUAAACCUCUUUUGCCGGGGAGCAGUGGGCCGGACGCGUCCGGACCGGGAGAGUACCCGGAGAAAAAGCAUCGGCUAACUCCGUGCCAGCAGCCGCGGUAAUACGGAGGAUGCGAGCGUUAUCCGGAUUUAGGGGGUUUAGAGGGUGCGUAGGCGGGCAUUAAAGCCGGCGGUAAAAUGUCGGGGCUCAACGCCGGCCUGCCGUCGGAACUGGGUGGCUUGAGUGGGCCAGCAGUAUGAGGAAUGCGUGGUGUAGCGGUGAAAUGCAUAGAUAUCACGCAGAACCCCGAUUGCGAAGGCAGCAUACCGGCGCCCUACUGACGCUGAGGCACGAAAGUGCGGGUAUCGAACAGGAUUAGAUACCCUUGUAGUC